AACGAACGCUGGCGGCAGGCCUAACACAUGCAAGUCGAGCGCUCAUCUUCGGAUGGGAGCGGCGCACGGGUGAGUAACACGUGGGAACCUACCUUGAAGUAUGGAAUAACUGAGGGAAACUUCAGCUAAUACCGUAUACGCCCUACGGGGGAAAGAUUUAUCGCUUCAAGACGGGCCCGCGUUGGAUUAGCUGGUUGGUGAGGUAAUGGCUCACCAAGGCGACGAUCCAUAGCUGAUUUGAGAGAAUGAUCAGCCACACUGGGACUGAGACACGGCCCAGACUCCUACGGGAGGCAGCAGUGGGGAAUAUUGGACAAUGGGCGCAAGCCUGAUCCAGCCAUGCCGCGUGAGUGAUGAAGGCCUUCGGGUUGUAAAGCUCUUUCAGAUGGGACGAUGAUGACGGUACCAUCAGAAGAAGCCCCGGCUAACUUCGUGCCAGCAGCCGCGGUAAUACGAAGGGGGCUAGCGUUGUUCGGAAUUACUGGGCGUAAAGCGCGCGUAGGCGGCUUUGUCAGUCAGGGGUGAAAUCCCGGGGCUUAACCUCGGAACUGCCUUUGAUACUGCAAGGCUUGAGUCUGUGAGAGGAUGGUGGAAUACCCAGUGUAGAGGUAAAAUUCGU
Molecule: ribosomal RNA, 619 nt
Filed under: uncultured Alphaproteobacteria bacterium
Lineage: Bacteria; Pseudomonadati; Pseudomonadota; Alphaproteobacteria
Description: bacterial SSU rRNA
Rfam family: Bacterial small subunit ribosomal RNA
Source: RNAcentral